RNAcentral lists this long non-coding RNA (1408 nucleotides) under Homo sapiens (human). RNAcentral describes it as "non-protein coding lnc-COL12A1-2:1". The record is from RNAcentral. Lineage: Eukaryota; Metazoa; Chordata; Mammalia; Primates; Hominidae.
GGCCAAAAGAUUGCUGAGAAGGAAUUGACAGAUAGGAAUUGGAAUCAAGAAGAUGAAGCAGAAGAGCUGAGAACGUUCUCAGUGGCCAACGAGGAAGUUUUGAAGAAUAGAGUAAAAAAAAAAAAAGCAACACGUAGAAAUGUUGGGUUUGAAUCUGAUCAGAUAGGGGAUGGGCUUUCAAAGAUUUCAAAGGAUUGGUUGUAUAUUCUGAAAGGAGAAGCAUUUUCUGAAUUUGGUAAUGGUAGUGGAGUAAGCCUUCACAAGGACUGCCAAAUGGAAACAACAAUAACUACUGCCCUUUUCUUCACCAGUCCAAAGGCAGCCAGGAAACCAAGGCAACAUUUCAUUCUAUUACUGUAAUUGAGGAAAAAAUAUUUCAAAUCUUCAAUCUAAUAGCGACAGUCAGUAGCCUCACACUUCUGUUUUUACUAUGAGUAAAUCAUGCCGUGGUAAUCCCUGUACAAGGCAGUUAGCUGCUUUAAACUGUCUGUUCAUGACUGGAUAGUUAAACACUUGAAUGCAAGCCCACUCUAUGAUCUGAAAUCUAUUUUUAAGAACUCUAAUAAAUAUUUAGCAAAUAUUGAACAGCAACAUGGGAACAAUGACCUUAGUAAUUCUGAAAAUGAAGCUAAUAAAACAUUAGCUGAAACGUAGUCUCCUUACCUAUUUAUUUCAACAAAAUUAUAGCAAGAAUCAACAUUUUGGUUUUAUAGCAGCAGAACUGAGAAUACAUCUGUGAGGAAGACGGAGGCUGAGUCUGAAAAAAAAAAUGGACCCAUCAGUAGGAGCAAUAAGUGCCUUCACAAGAAAAUUGAUUGCUGUGUUUUAGUUAGGCUUGUUUAUCUCUGGAUCCCUGAUUGGAUUUUCAUUUUCCCCUGGAAACUCCAGUUUAUUUGGCAAAUAUAUUACCCAGAGUAGUCCAGGGUUUUGUUGUUGUCGUUGUAGUUGGUUUUAACCAUUUUCCAAUAAAACAUUGCAGAGUCAAGCAAAAGGUGGCAGUAAUGAAUGUAAAGAUGGAGACAAAGGAAGAGAAUGAUGAGCCAACUAGAGUAAUAGUUACUGAAGUAAAAGCAGAACUUUUUAUUCUGAAGAGUAUAAUUUUUUUUACAAGAAAGAUGACAAGUUUAAAGAGAAGGAUGUAGGUACCCUUUUCUUAAAAUCUGUAGCAAAUCAGAAGCACAGCUUUUACUAGGAGCAGACACCAAUUUAGGCAAUGUACUGCUGAAUAUUCUGAUUCCACCCAAUUGUUGUGUACUUGAAUAGCAAAAACAAUGUACUUAUUUUCUGUGUUUCAGAUCUACCAAUUUAUGAGAAAAAUGCCAUGAUCUCAGUUAAGAUAUUAAUUUGGUUAAAUCUAAGUGAUUAUGUAGAUGAGUUGCACAAAAUUUUACUAAGGAAAAAGAAUGCC